CACAGCCUGUAAUUCAUGUGGUCCAAGGUCCUCCGCCGGCCCAAGCUCCAGCGGCUCCUGCUCCGGCCCAGGCAGUAAUUAUUCCACCACAUCUGACUACUGCUGCGGGACGGAUGAAAUGUCAUUACUGCCAGAAGGAGGUCGUGACAGAGGUAAAAUAUGUCAAUGGCAUGUUGGUGUGGGUCCUCGUUGGAACUCUUGGCCUUUUAGGGAUCUGGCCGUGUUGUUUGAUUCCUUUCUGUGUGAACGGCUGCAAGGAUGUAAAGCAUACCUGUCCCAACUGCAAAACCAUCGUCAGUGUGUACAAACGCAUGUAGCUUGCUCUGAAACAAAGAAAAUCUGAUAGACCAACAUAAAAACUCUGAGUGUCUUUA
Long non-coding RNA from Carassius auratus (goldfish), 374 nucleotides. RefSeq lists it as uncharacterized. Lineage: Eukaryota; Metazoa; Chordata; Actinopteri; Cypriniformes; Cyprinidae. The transcript is spliced from 4 exons. The record is from RefSeq and is a predicted model, not a curated record.